UACGUAGGGUGCGAGCGUUGUCCGGAAUUAUUGGGCGUAAAGGGCUCGUAGGCGGUUUGUCGCGUCGGGAGUGAAAACCUGGGGCUUAACUCUGGGCGUGCGGUCGAUACGGGCAUCACUGGAGUUCGGCAGGGGAGACUGGAAUUCCUGGUGUAGCGGUGAAAUGCGCAGAUAUCAGGAGGAACACCGGUGGCGAAGGCGGGUCUCUGGGCCGAUACUGACGCUGAGGAGCGAAAGCGUGGGGAGCAAACAGG
RNAcentral lists this ribosomal RNA (254 nucleotides) under uncultured bacterium. Its description in RNAcentral is "partial 16S ribosomal RNA". It matches the Rfam family "Bacterial small subunit ribosomal RNA", at positions 524 to 776 of the family's 1533-position model. The record is from RNAcentral.